This 490-nucleotide ribosomal RNA is filed under the name uncultured bacterium. RNAcentral describes it as "partial 16S ribosomal RNA". It matches the Rfam family "Bacterial small subunit ribosomal RNA", at positions 30 to 507 of the family's 1533-position model. The record is from RNAcentral.
AUUGAACGCUGGCGGCAUGCUUUACACAUGCAAGUCGGACGGCAGCACAGAGAAGCUUGCUUCUUGGGUGGCGAGUGGCGAACGGGUGAGUAAUAUAUCGGAACGUACCGAGUAAUGGGGGAUAACUAAUCGAAAGAUUAGCUAAUACCGCAUAUUCUCUGAGGAGGAAAGCAGGGGACCUUCGGGCCUUGCGUUAUUCGAGCGGCCGAUAUCUGAUUAGCUAGUUGGUGGGGUAAAGGCCUACCAAGGCGACGAUCAGUAGCGGGUCUGAGAGGAUGAUCCGCCACCCGGGGAGUGAGACACGGCCCAGACUCCGACGGGAGGCAGCAGUCGGGAAUUUUGGAGAAUGGGGGCAAGCGUGAUCCAGGAAUGCCGGGUGUCUGAAGAAGGCCUUCGGGUUGGAAAGGGAUUUUGUCAGGGAAGAAAAGGCUGUUGCUAAUAUCGAUAGCUGAUGACGGUACCUGAAGAAUAAGCACCGGCUAACUACGUG